UGAGGAAUAUUGGUCAAUGGGCGAGAGCCUUAACCAGCCAAGUAGCGUGCAGGAUGACGGCCCUAUGGGUUGUAAACUGCUUUUAUGUGGGGAUAAAGUGCGUGACGUGUCAUGCAUUGCAGGUACCACAUGAAUAAGGACCGGCUAAUUCCGUGCCAGCAGCCGCGGUAAUACGGAAGGUCCGGGCGUUAUCCGGAUUUAUUGGGUUUAAAGGGAGCGUAGGCUGUCUAUUAAGCGUGUUGUGAAAUUUACCGGCUCAACCGGUGGCUUGCAGCGCGAACUGGUCGACUUGAGUAUGCAGGAAGUAGGCGGAAUUCAUGGUGUAGCGGUGAAAUGCUUAGAUAUCAUGACGAACUCCGAUUGCGCAGGCAGCUUACUGUAGCAUAACUGACGCUGAUGCUCGAAAGUGCGGGUAUCAAACAGG
Molecule: ribosomal RNA, 424 nt
Filed under: Fusobacteriota bacterium
Lineage: Bacteria; Fusobacteriati; Fusobacteriota
Description: Fusobacteria bacterium partial 16S ribosomal RNA
Rfam family: Bacterial small subunit ribosomal RNA
Source: RNAcentral